CAUUAUUAAAUAAGAUAACUAUAGAAAAAGGGGCGAUGCCAAAUCUCGAGUUCUUAAGCAUUCGCCGUUGCUUGACAUUAGAAACAUUGCCACAGGGUAUUGAGCACCUUACUAAACUACAACGAUUCAGAUUUUAUAUUGUUUCAGAGAAGUUUAGAGAGUCCAUAAAAGAAGGAGGUGUGGAUCAUCCAAGGAUGCUACUCGUCGACGAGAGAUGUAAGAAAUAUACAAACAAGUCCUGGGAUUGAAGAUUUUACUCAUGAGUUUGGGGUUGGGAACUUGUUCGUCUUGUUUCGACCACAAGAGUGAUGUAGAUUGGCUUCUUAUUUGCUCUUUUGAAAAUCAAACAAUACCCAAGUUGAUGUUCAUAAAAUUGCAGUUGAUGUU
Molecule: long non-coding RNA, 387 nt
Organism: Prunus persica (peach)
Lineage: Eukaryota; Viridiplantae; Streptophyta; Magnoliopsida; Rosales; Rosaceae
Exons: 2
Source: RefSeq, a predicted model, not a curated record